This is a long non-coding RNA of Haliotis rubra (blacklip abalone), 801 nucleotides long. RefSeq lists it as uncharacterized. NCBI's taxonomy places the organism in Eukaryota, Metazoa, Mollusca, Gastropoda, Lepetellida, Haliotidae. The record is from RefSeq and is a predicted model, not a curated record. The transcript has 2 exons.
CAAUCACGGGAAGGCUUACGGGAUGACAAGUCCCCACGGUGGCUGUCAUAAUUUGGUUGAGCUGUAAGCGACGUGGCUUGCUGUACUCAGAGUUAACCUCUGGAUAACCUCACGAGACCUCGCAGUGACGUGAUGAGUAGCCAAUCAGGACGCAACACUAACUGGCUCGACCAAUAGACUUGUAGAUAAGUGUAUAAAUACAUCAGAUCACGAGAAGUCCGUGGCGAGUGUAAACAAAACCAGUCGAACAGCAAGGCGUAUCAUUCAGCAGACGUAAUAUCGCACGAGAACACAAAAUGUCAGCAGCAGACGAGCAAUAUAUGGACGAAUAUGAAAAAUACAACAUAGAACAGGAUAAAUUUGUGAACACGGGCCAUAGCGGAAAGGGACGGACGAAGAAAGAAGCCGAACAACACAUUCGGGAGGACCCGUGUGGACACACAAGGAAGACCGUCCAGAAACUUAUGAACAAUGCUCAAAACAACGCGACUGGACAGAAAGGUCCAUCCACGGUUAAGAAAUCAUGAUAACCCAAGUGAUAUGAAAUAACGGGUACCCAUGGCAACCGCUUCGUAAAGGACCAAGAGAAAGGAUAUGAAACACUGAUGAGGACCCGAUUGACCAGUGACCGGACUGAUGACCUGUUGAAGGUCAAGGUCACAGUGAUGUGAUAUCGUGUACCUGGGACGACUGCUCUUACCGGGAUAGACCGGGACAAUGGCACAUCCAUAUUUCUCCAUUCGUUGUUUUGUCGUGUUUACAAUUUGUCUUUUGAUAAAACAUUAAAAAGUGUUUAUUUUA